RNAcentral lists this ribosomal RNA (405 nucleotides) under uncultured bacterium. Its description in RNAcentral is "bacterial SSU rRNA". It matches the Rfam family "Bacterial small subunit ribosomal RNA", at positions 370 to 772 of the family's 1533-position model. The record is from RNAcentral.
AAUGGAGGAAACUCUGAUCCAGCCAUGCCGCGUGAUAGAUGAAGGCCCUCUGGGUUGUAAAUAUCUUUUAUCUGGGAAGAAACACUCCUAUUCUUAGGAACUUGACGGUACCAGAGGAAUAAGCACCGGCUAACUCCGUGCCAGCAGCCGCGGUAAUACGGAGGGUGCAAGCGUUAUCCGGAUUCACUGGGUUUAAAGGGUGCGUAGGCGGGCUGAUAAGUCAGUGGUGAAAGCUCCGAGCUUAACUUGGAAACUGCCAUUGAUACUGUUAGUCUUGAAUAUCGUAGAGGUAAGCGGAAUGUUGCAUGUAGCGGUGAAAUGCUUAGAUAUGUUACAGAACACCAAUUGCGAAGGCAGCUUACUAUGCGAUGAUUGACGCUGAGGCACGAAAGCGUGGGGAGCAAA